AACGAACGCUGGCGGCAUGCCUAACACAUGCAAGUCGAACGAGACCUUCGGGUCUAGUGGCGCACGGGUGCGUAACGCGUGGGAACCUGCCCUUAGGUUCGGAAUAACUCCCCGAAAGGGGUGCUAAUACCGGAUAAUGUCUUCGGACCAAAGAUUUAUCGCCUUUGGAUGGGCCCGCGUUGGAUUAGCUUGUUGGUAGGGUAAAAGCCUACCAAGGCGACGAUCCAUAGCUGGUCUGAGAGGAUGAUCAGCCACACUGGGACUGAGACACGGCCCAGACUCCUACGGGAGGCAGCAGUGGGGAAUAUUGGACAAUGGGCGAAAGCCUGAUCCAGCAAUGCCGCGUGAGUGAUGAAGGCCUUAGGGUUGUAAAGCUCUUUUACCCGGGAUGAUAAUGACAGUACCGGGAGAAUAAGCGCCGGCUAACUCCGUG
This 433-nucleotide ribosomal RNA is filed under the name uncultured bacterium. RNAcentral's name for it is "partial 16S ribosomal RNA". It matches the Rfam family "Bacterial small subunit ribosomal RNA", at positions 29 to 507 of the family's 1533-position model. The record is from RNAcentral.